AGGACUCAUAGAGGGUGAGAAUCCCGUAUGCGGCCGGCUGCCUACCCCGGGUGAAGCCCCUUCGACGAGUCGAGUUGUUUGGGAAUGCAGCUCUAAAUGGGUGGUAAAUUUCAUCUAAAGCUAAAUACCGGCCAGAGACCGAUAGCGCACAAGUAGAGUGAUCGAAAGAUGAAAAGCACUUUGGAAAGAGAGUUAAACAGCACGUGAAAUUGUUGAAAGGGAAGCGCUUGCCGCCAGACCUGCCCGCGGGCGUUCACCCGCCAUUCGUGGCGGGGCACUCGCCCGCGAUCAAGGCCAGCACGGGUUCGAGCGGUGGGAGAAAGGGCCCGGGAAUGUAGCUCCCUUCGGGGUGCCUUAUAGCCCGGGUCGCCAUGCCGCCCGCCCGGACCGAGGACCGCGCUUCGGCUAGGGUGCUGGCGUAAUGGCGGCAAGCGACCCGUCUUGAAACACGGACCAAGGAGUCUAACAUCUACGCGAGUGUUUGGGUGUCAAACCCGGGCGCGGAAUGAACGUGAACGGAGGUGGGACCCCCGCGAGGGGCGCACCAUCGACCGAUCCAGAUGUCUUCGGAUGGAUUUGAGUACGAGCGUAGCUGUUGGGACCCGAAAGAUGGUGAACUAUGCCUGAAUAGGGUGAAGCCAGAGGAAACUCUGGUGGAGGCUCGCAGCGGUUCUGACGUGCAAAUCGAUCGUCAAAUUUGGGCAUAGGGGCGAAAGACUAAUCGAACCA
RNAcentral lists this ribosomal RNA (729 nucleotides) under Scytinium imbricatum. RNAcentral's name for it is "partial large subunit ribosomal RNA". It matches the Rfam family "Eukaryotic large subunit ribosomal RNA", at positions 198 to 942 of the family's 3401-position model. The record is from RNAcentral. Lineage: Eukaryota; Fungi; Ascomycota; Lecanoromycetes; Peltigerales; Collemataceae.